GACGAAGGGGGCUAGCGUUGUUCGGAAUUACUGGGCGUAAAGCGCGUGUAGGCGGUUGUCCAAGUCGGGUGUGAAAGCCUUGAGCUCAACUCAAGAAAUGCACUCGAUACUGGGUGACUUGAGGACCGGAGAGGAUAGUGGAAUUCCCAGUGUAGUGGUGAAAUACGUAGAGAUUGGGAAGAACACCAGUGGCGAAGGCGCUACACUAGAACGGCUCUGACAGUGAGGGACGAAGCCCUGGGGCGCAAACCGG
RNAcentral lists this ribosomal RNA (253 nucleotides) under uncultured bacterium. Its description in RNAcentral is "partial 16S ribosomal RNA". It matches the Rfam family "Bacterial small subunit ribosomal RNA", at positions 524 to 776 of the family's 1533-position model. The record is from RNAcentral.